Molecule: ribosomal RNA, 119 nt
Filed under: Pteropus alecto (black flying fox)
Lineage: Eukaryota; Metazoa; Chordata; Mammalia; Chiroptera; Pteropodidae
Source: RNAcentral
GUCUACAGCCACGCCACCCUGAACCAGCCCCAUCCCGGCUGAUCUCGGAAGCUAAGCAGGGUCGGGCCUGGUCAGUACUCGGAUGGGAGACCACCUAGGAAGACCAGGUGCUGUAGGCG